ACCUGGCUGGCUCAGUCAAGAGAGCAUGUGAUUCUUGAUCUCAGGGUUGUGAGUUCAAGUCCCACAUUAGGCG
Molecule: transfer RNA, 73 nt
Filed under: Felis catus (domestic cat)
Lineage: Eukaryota; Metazoa; Chordata; Mammalia; Carnivora; Felidae
Rfam family: tRNA
About the family: Transfer RNA (tRNA) molecules are approximately 80 nucleotides in length. Their secondary structure includes four short double-helical elements and three loops (D, anti-codon, and T loops).
Source: Rfam by way of RNAcentral